This is a long non-coding RNA of Chlorocebus sabaeus (green monkey), 553 nucleotides long. RefSeq lists it as uncharacterized. Lineage: Eukaryota; Metazoa; Chordata; Mammalia; Primates; Cercopithecidae. The record is from RefSeq and is a predicted model, not a curated record.
UCCAUUGUAUUAGUAUGUCAUUUCUCAUCUCCAGGGCAGUGGGUCUUUGAACAGGAUGGGAGCAAACUUUCUUAUGGAUGAGUUGCAGUCCUUGAACUGACUUCUAGAUCAUAUCCACACACUGCAUGCAAAACAUCGUGCUAGACGUCCUCCUCCAAAACGAUCACACUUCCACAGCUGGAUUCUGAAAAAGAAGAAGAAAAGCUGAUUCCACAAAUGUUGCUGAUGUGACACCUGGGAUCCUGAGAGAUUAACUUUCUCCAAUUUACUCAGAUAGUGAGGAGGACUGAUGACAGGUCAGCCAAACUCAAGUCUGCUGCUGACCUAUUCUUGGGGAAUUGGGCUUCCAGAGACUUUAAGAACUUCCAAUCUGAGGUGAAUUUGCCCUCCUGUCACCAUGUCUAUAGGGUGUAGCAACACCUGAAAGCAAUGAACAAGAUCUUUGAAGCUGACAAGAUCUCUGCUGAAACCAAGAUGAGUGAUAGAAUCUUCCAUUAUGAAUCUAUACUUCUUGUGGACUCUUAGUGACUAUAAUUAUUUUAAAAUUAUUGUA